Molecule: ribosomal RNA, 468 nt
Filed under: uncultured bacterium
Lineage: Bacteria
Description: partial 16S ribosomal RNA
Rfam family: Bacterial small subunit ribosomal RNA
Source: RNAcentral
GACGGACGCUGGCGGCGUGCUUAACACAUGCAAGUCGAACGGAAAGGCCCUGCUUUUGUGGGGUGCUCGAGUGGCGAACGGGUGAGUAACACGUGAGUAACCUGCCCUUGACUUUGGGAUAACUUCAGGAAACUGGGGCUAAUACCGGAUAGGAGUUCCUGCUGCAUGGUGGGGGUUGGAAAGUUUCGGCGGUUGGGGAUGGACUCGCGGCUUAUCAGCUUGUUGGUGGGGUAGUGGCUUACCAAGGCUUUGACGGGUAGCCGGCCUGAGAGGGUGACCGGCCACAUUGGGACUGAGAUACGGCCCAGACUCCUACGGGAGGCAGCAGUGGGGAAUAUUGCACAAUGGGCGGAAGCCUGAUGCAGCAACGCCGCGUGCGGGAUGACGGCCUUCGGGUUGUAAACCGCUUUCGCCUGUGACGAAGCGUGAGUGACGGUAAUGGGUAAAGAAGCACCGGCUAACUACGUG